UAGGGAAUCUUCGGCAAUGGACGAAAGUCUGACCGAGCAACGCCGCGUGAGUGAAGAAGGUUUUCGGAUCGUAAAACUCUGUUGUUAGAGAAGAACAAGGACGUUAGUAACUGAACGUCCCCUGACGGUAUCUAACCAGAAAGCCACGGCUAACUACGUGCCAGCAGCCGCGGUAAUACGUAGGUGGCAAGCGUUGUCCGGAUUUAUUGGGCGUAAAGCGAGCGCAGGCGGUUUCUUAAGUCUGAUGUGAAAUCCCCGGGCUCAACCUGGGAACUGCAUCUGAUACUGGCAAGCUUGAGUCUCGUAGAGGGGGGUAGAAUUCCAGGUGUAGCGGUGAAAUGCGUAGAGAUCUGGAGGAAUACCGGUGGCGAAGGCGGCCCCCUGGACAAAGACUGACGCUCAGGUGCGAAAGCGUGGGGAGCAAACAGG
RNAcentral lists this ribosomal RNA (429 nucleotides) under Chloroflexota bacterium. RNAcentral's name for it is "Chloroflexi bacterium partial 16S ribosomal RNA". It matches the Rfam family "Bacterial small subunit ribosomal RNA", at positions 355 to 776 of the family's 1533-position model. The record is from RNAcentral. Lineage: Bacteria; Bacillati; Chloroflexota.